UACGGGAGGCAGCAGUGGGGAAUAUUGCACAAUGGGCGCAAGCCUGAUGCAGCCAUGCCGCGUGUAUGAAGAAGGCCUUCGGGUUGUAAAGUACUUUCAGCGGGGAGGAAGGCGAUGCGGUUAAUAACCGCGUCGAUUGACGUUACCCGCAGAAGAAGCACCGGCUAACUCCGUGCCAGCAGCCGCGGUAAUACGGAGGGUGCAAGCGUUAAUCGGAAUUACUGGGCGUAAAGCGCACGCAGGCGGUCUGUUAAGUCAGAAUGUGAAAUCCCCGGGCUUAACCUGGGAACUGCAUUUUGAAACUGGCAGGCUUGAGUCUUGUAGAGGGGGUAGAAUUCCAGGUGUAGCGGUGAAAUGCGUAGAGAUCUGGAGGAAUACCGGUGGCGAAGGCGGCCCCUGGGACAAAGACUGACGCUCAGGGUGCGAAAGCGUGGGGAGCAAACAGGAUUAGAUACC
This 456-nucleotide ribosomal RNA is filed under the name uncultured bacterium. RNAcentral's name for it is "bacterial SSU rRNA". It matches the Rfam family "Bacterial small subunit ribosomal RNA", at positions 340 to 786 of the family's 1533-position model. The record is from RNAcentral.